Gigantopelta aegis is the source of this 583-nucleotide long non-coding RNA. RefSeq lists it as uncharacterized. NCBI's taxonomy places the organism in Eukaryota, Metazoa, Mollusca, Gastropoda, Neomphalida, Peltospiridae. The record is from RefSeq and is a predicted model, not a curated record. The transcript has 2 exons.
UUUAAAUUUAGUUUUUCUCUGUGUAAAUCGAUGUCAUAAAAUAUCAUAUUUUGAUUAAAAUGGACAGCAAAUCAACUUUGGCGUAACAUGUGCCAUGCAGGGGCUUGCUAGAUGGGAUAAAUAUCACAGUUGAUUGCUACUGUGGCCAAUGCAUCCAAGAUGGCUAACAGAGCAAUAGUCCUCUUUCUUUGUUUCAUGCUCUCUACAGAGAACCUGUGCCUAGGAUUUGGUCAUAUGACGUCCUCCGAAUGUACUCACAAAGAAGUAUCUAUUAGUCGAAAGAACAACUGGUCGGUCUACACCCAAUGCGCAGAUCAGAAUUUCUUCAAAAACAACCACAGUUGCUGGCUCUACUGUAGGAGGGCAUGUCAACGCCGGAAAGAUCGAGCUAACAAAUGUGCCCCACACUUUACUGAGUUUUCUUAAGUACACAACGUAGAACAGCAAACAAGUGAACGCACUUGCGUAUACAGAAAACAACUUUGUUGAUAAUUAUAAUUAAAGGCUGGAUAUGCAAACAAGAAAACAUAAGAAUAAUCAGUGCAUCAUGUUAAACUGUUGAAAAUAAAAGCAAUCCAAGAAA